AAGAAGACAGCCAGAGCUAGAUCCAGUGAACCAAGGUUUGAACUAUGAAAAGGAAGAGGGGUGGCAGUGCCGCUACUGAUUUGAGAUCGUUCUUGUAAAGAGCUGCUGCAAAGAAGAAACCUCCUGAGGCAGAGGUUGUUAGUCCACCUACUAAUGAAAAUCAAAUGCAGAUAGUGGUAUUUCAAGGACAGAGUACCAGUGGGAGUGGGAGAAACACCAUACCUCUUGAAGCAGAGAGAGAUGAGCAGCAACAGCAGCAACCACCAGCUAAUCCCUCAGUAAUUGAAGAUGAUGAAUCCAUGCCUAUAGAUGAAUCUGACUCCGGCGAUGAAGAUGAUAGUAAUUAUAAUAUAGAGCAUGAUCCGGGAUUGAGGCCUCCUAUCUCAAGCUAUCCUGUCAAUGACAAAGAUUCGGUUAGAAGGUCAUACAUUGCAUUGGGACCAUGUCAACCAAGAAUGAAGAGAGAAUUAUUUCCCCAACAUGAAUGUGGAGGUAUGCGCCGAUUCCAACCUAAAUGGUUUGAUGAAUUCAAGUGGCUAGAGUAUAGUAUGCAUACAGGUGCUGCAUAUUGCUUUGUUUGCUACUUGUUCAAGGAUAGUAGCAAAUAUCCUGGUGGAGAUGCUUUUGCUAAUGAAGGUUUUCGAAAUUGGAAUAUGAAGUGCAGAAUUCGUAGGCAUGUUGGUGCUAUCAAUAGUGCUCACAAUGAAGCUGAGGAGAAAUAUAAUUUGUUCAUGAAACCUAGGACUUCAAUUCGUGAGUCUAUAGGCUCAAA
Molecule: long non-coding RNA, 772 nt
Organism: Panicum virgatum (switchgrass)
Lineage: Eukaryota; Viridiplantae; Streptophyta; Magnoliopsida; Poales; Poaceae
Exons: 2
Source: RefSeq, a predicted model, not a curated record